AAGGCAAAAGCUAAUAUAUUAAUAAACCCAAGCAUAAGGAAUGCUAAGGUAAAGAAAUAAUAGUACAGGAAUUCAUUGUCUAAUACAUGGUAUACACCUCUCAUAACACUACAGGAAAAUAUGAACAUCACCACUACAUAGAAUUAAGGUGAAUCAUCGAUACUGAGAUUAGAAAACAGAGAUUUACUCAUCCAGGCAUAGAAUCAAAUUAAGGAUAGAACAUAAAAUCUAAAUAAGGAUCGAGAAAUUUGGAUCUCUUGGGAUUUCGCUCCAAGUCACUAGUGAGCAUCCAGACGGUUGAAGAACAUGCG
RNAcentral lists this long non-coding RNA (311 nucleotides) under Trifolium pratense (red clover). Its description in RNAcentral is "long non-coding RNA (TPRA_LNC011246)". Lineage: Eukaryota; Viridiplantae; Streptophyta; Magnoliopsida; Fabales; Fabaceae. The record is from RNAcentral.